GAUAAAAGCUACUCCGGGGAUAACAGGCUAGUCUCCCCCAAGCGUCCACAGCGACGGGGAGGUUCGGCACCUCGAUGUCGGCUCGUCGUAUCCUGGAGCUGAACAAGGUUCCAAGGGUUUGGCUGUUCGCCAAUUAAAACGGCACGUGAGCUGGGUUCAGAACGUCGUGAGACAGUUCGGUCUCCUAUCCGCUAUGGGCGUCGAAACUUGAGGGGUCCCUUCUCUAGUACGAGAGGACCGAGAAGGACGAACCUCUGGUGUACCAGUUGUCCUGCCAAGGGCAUCGCUGGGUAGCCAAGUUCGGUUUAGAUAAACGCUGAAAGCAUCUAAGCGUGAAACUGUCCCCAAGAUUAGGUUUCAUAGAACCCUAGUAGACUACUAGGUUGAUAGGCAGCAGGUGUAAGAGUAGUAAUACUUUUAGCCGAGCUGUACUAAUAGUUCAUUGUUUAACCAC
This 454-nucleotide ribosomal RNA is filed under the name Candidatus Falkowiibacteriota bacterium. RNAcentral's name for it is "partial 23S ribosomal RNA". It matches the Rfam family "Bacterial large subunit ribosomal RNA", at positions 2455 to 2925 of the family's 2925-position model. Lineage: Bacteria; Candidatus Falkowiibacteriota. The record is from RNAcentral.